CAUCCUCCACAUUUAGAACCCUAUCUGAGGGGUAUUUAUGAUCUGGCUAAUGGCAAUCUGGGCAGGGACAGAGCAGACUGUGCUCCUCAGAAUGGUGCACAAUUUAAAACUUAUGAAUCGUUUAUUUCUGGAAUUCGCUAUUUAUGUCACAAUACUUAUGUCAUUCACCUCACUUCAUCUCAUCAUGUAGGUAUUUUAUCAUCUCACAUCACAAGAAGGAGAAGGGUGAGUUCAGUACACUAAGAUGCUUUGAGAGGGAGACCAUACAUAACUUUUAUUACAGUAC
RNAcentral lists this long non-coding RNA (286 nucleotides) under Pan troglodytes (chimpanzee). RNAcentral's name for it is "long non-coding RNA NONPTRT000581". The record is from RNAcentral. Lineage: Eukaryota; Metazoa; Chordata; Mammalia; Primates; Hominidae.